GUGACAGUGGCCCAGCUGGACUGGGAUGUAGCGACGGUCCAUCAGCUCUCUGCCUUCCAGCCAGAUGUUGUCAUUACAGCAGUAACCUGAAGCUUUCACCGUAGACGUGCUGUAUUGCCCAGAAGCCAUCGUGUCCCUGGUCGGGGUCCUGCGGAGGCUGGCUGCCUGCUGGGAGCACCAGCGGGCUCCUGAGGUCUACAUGGCCUUUACCGUCCGCAACCCAGAGACGUGCCAGGUGUUCACCACCGAGCUAGGCUGGGCUGGGAUCAGAUGGGAAGCGGAAGCUCAUCAUGACCAGAAACUGUUUCCCUAUGGAGAGCACUUGGAGAUGGCAAUGCUGAACCUCACACUGUAGGACUCAUACACGACUCCAACGGGAUUGUUAGAAUCAAAUCACUCUCGUGGGAAGAAUUUUUAUAUGGGAAAGCGGAUAAAACUUUCAUUGGACUGGAAUGUUUGGAGAAUGUUAAAUUCCAAAUCAGGAACCACAAUCUGCCCUCUAAUAAGACAUCGGCUAUCUA
Molecule: long non-coding RNA, 521 nt
Filed under: Homo sapiens (human)
Lineage: Eukaryota; Metazoa; Chordata; Mammalia; Primates; Hominidae
Description: non-protein coding lnc-TMCC1-10:5
Source: RNAcentral